GCUGUAGUUCAGAGGUAGAACAUCUGCUUUCCACACAGAAGGCCUCAGGUUCAUCCCCCAGCAUCACCA
This is a non-coding RNA of Podarcis lilfordi (Lilford's wall lizard), 69 nucleotides long. NCBI's taxonomy places the organism in Eukaryota, Metazoa, Chordata, Lepidosauria, Squamata, Lacertidae. The record is from the annotation of a GenBank genome assembly.